GUGAGGAAUAUUGGUCAAUGGGCGAGAGCCUGAACCAGCCAAGUCGCGUGAAGGAAGAAGGAUCUAUGGUUCGUAAACUUCUUUUGCAGGGGAAUAAAGUGCGGGACGUGUCCUGUUUUGUAUGUACCCUGAGAAUAAGGAUCGGCUAACUCCGUGCCAGCAGCCGCGGUAAUACGGAGGAUCCGAGCGUUAUCCGGAUUUAUUGGGUUUAAAGGGUGCGUAGGUGGUUUGAUAAGUCAGCGGUGAAAGUUUGCAGCUUAACUGUAAAAAUGCCGUUGAAACUGUCGGACUUGAGUGUAAAUGAGGUAGGCGGAAUGCGUGGUGUAGCGGUGAAAUGCAUAGAUAUCACGCAGAACUCCGAUUGCGAAGGCAGCUUACUAAGCUACAACUGACACUGAAGCACGAAAGCGUGGGGAUCAAACAGGAUUAGAUACCCCUGUAGUCC
RNAcentral lists this ribosomal RNA (445 nucleotides) under uncultured bacterium. Its description in RNAcentral is "partial 16S ribosomal RNA". It matches the Rfam family "Bacterial small subunit ribosomal RNA", at positions 354 to 796 of the family's 1533-position model. The record is from RNAcentral.